Molecule: ribosomal RNA, 431 nt
Filed under: uncultured bacterium
Lineage: Bacteria
Description: partial 16S ribosomal RNA
Rfam family: Bacterial small subunit ribosomal RNA
Source: RNAcentral
AACGAACGCUGGCGGCAUGCCUAACACAUGCAAGUCGAACGAGACCUUCGGGUCUAGUGGCGCACGGGUGCGUAACGCGUGGGAACCUGCCCUUAGGUUCGGAAUAACUCCCCGAAAGGGGUGCUAAUACCGGAUAAUGUCUUCGGACCAAAGAUUUAUCGCCUUUGGAUGGGCCCGCGUUGGAUUAGCUAGUUGGUAGGGUAAAAGCCUACCAAGGCGACGAUCCAGCUGGUCUGAGAGGAUGAUCAGCCACACUGGGACUGAGACACGGCCCAGACUCCUACGGGAGGCAGCAGUGGGGAAUAUUGGACAAUGGGCGAAAGCCUGAUCCAGCAAUGCCGCGUGAGUGAUGAAGGCCUUAGGGUUGUAAAGCUCUUUUACCCGGGAUGAUAAUGACAGUACCGGGAGAAUAAGCUCCGGCUAACUCCGUG